Long non-coding RNA from Triticum aestivum (bread wheat), 2758 nucleotides. RefSeq lists it as uncharacterized. NCBI's taxonomy places the organism in Eukaryota, Viridiplantae, Streptophyta, Magnoliopsida, Poales, Poaceae. The record is from RefSeq and is a predicted model, not a curated record. The transcript has 3 exons.
CGGCGACUAUCACGCCGCACUCCAACACCCAGCACGCCGCCACCUCAGCGCCCAACGCGGCCGCUACCUGCAACCACCCCCACCUCCACCCCGUAUCGAUCUGCCGCUUCCUCGAUCUACCUCGCCGCCGCUUCCUCGAUAUGCCUUGCCGCCGUUUGGAUCGUUGCGGCGACGUCUUCGUCGGCCUUCAGCUUCAGCACCUACAUCCUGAAGGAGCACGAUCUCGUCGCUGGUAUGGAUCUGAACGCCCACCGCUUCCCUGAUCUGACUGCUAUGAGUUCUCUGAGGUGCAUGCUAGGUGAAACACCACUAUACCGAUGUAGGGUCGGAGACAGGGAGGGGCUAUCAGGGUUCAGACCCUUGCCAAUGGCUCGCCCCCCUCAACGAUUCGUAGCAGACAGUUUGUACUGUAUAUGCCUAAUGGCCGCAGCUAAUUGCAUAAUUAGCCCAUACGUACACAAAUAAUUAAACCAUUAGUGAUGUAGAAAAGCCCCUUAAACCAUGUACGGUUGUGAGACUAUAAUUUUGCGAUGGGCCAGUGCCUAAUCCAUCAAUCAGGUCGAUCUAUUGAUGUGUACCUACCAUACAUUGUAUCCCUAUAUGAACGAUGAGAGUAGAUUUUUUAUUUUGUAAAGUAAGACCUUAAACUGGUUGAUUAAUGUUUCAUAUAAAAUAGUAAAGUAGUCUACUAAUUAUGUGUCCUUUUAUAUAUAGUAGUCAAAGAUGAAACGAAAGACAUGAACAACUAAUGUGGUAAAUUAUUUUUCAAACCAAUUGCUUAAAACUUCGAGCUGCAACAUUCUUGGGGAGAAUUGUUAUUUUUUUAGUUCUAGAAAAUAAUUUUAUUCUUUAUCAUCGACACUAUCAUAACACUUAAUAUACUGUAAUAUUCCGUCUUUUACGUCAGCAAUAGUGUUUCGCCGCCCUCAUGUUCAAAUCUUGGCUCAACCGAUGCAAGCUUUUUGGAGUUCCCUUGAUUGAAGGAUUGCUUUUGUUAAUCUCAAACUCAGACGGGCUUUCGUUUUCCCUUCUGUUUAGGGAAGCAGUCAACAUCAUCAGGACUUCUACUUGUAAGAGUCGCUAGCUUCUCCGAAGAUUUUGACAUCUCACCCAUCUUUAAAUUAUUUGGUAUAUUUGCGUUGGAAUCAAUUUUCGGUGUCCCCGAUGUAGUGAUGAUUUUAUAUCACCCUGAAUAGUUGGUGGAAUUGUAGUUACACAUACACCUGAUGUAGCAAUAUCAUGGCGAACAUCCACACUAAUGUUGUUUGUUGGCACACUGUGGCCACCUUGGCUGCUGCUUCUUGAACGACUUAUUUGGAUGGCACAUGAGGCAACAUGCUGCUGCUCUCCUGUCACCUAGUGCUUAACAGAAUCUUAUCCGUCACUUGAAUACUGCUAACUUUGCAUAAUCUGUAUAUUUUUCAACUUAAACCUGUUCUGAAUCCAUAUGUCGACAGUGUUAUAUCUGAGUGUGUGUGUGGCCGGACCCAUGGUCUUGUACCUCCUCUCUCUAUUUUAGUUAUGAUAAGCUGAUAGUGCAUUGAUAUGCUACUGUGUACUUUUCUGCCCUCUCCAUUCACAUGUUUCUUUUCGUAGGUUUCAUCGGUUCUGGGACCCAAACUGCUGAGGGGACUUCCACAACUUGUAUUACUUGAUUUCCCUGUCUGAGACUACAAUCUUGUCCUAGGAUGGCGAUGGACAUGUUGACCAUAUACCUGCACUAUGAAGGUGCAAAUCAGGAAGCCAAAAUUUUACAAAUAUCCAUGAUGAGGCGUGAUGUCUCGUAUUAUUACUGAAUCUUGAUGAUCGAGGAAGUUGGCUUUCAGGCAAUUGACUUUCUGUAAUCUAUGCGAAAAAAACCCGUCUAGGUGAGGGAAACGAGGGAUCUUACGGGUGAAUCUUUUUCAAGACUGAACCAACAGGGGACUGGAACUGAACACCCACACACAGGUUGCUAAAAAAAGGCGUACUUCUUCCAUCAAGGUAAAGAUCCGCCAGGGGGCACGGUUUACUGCACCCAAACUAUCAUGCCUGCUUGAAAAAUGGAUUUUGUUACAAAUUUUGCUCAAUCUGCUAUAUGCAAGUAAAGGAUAAAUUUAUCCAAGCAUUAGCAAGAGAGGUGACCUUGGGCUUAGACUUCGAUGUCGGGUCCAGUUUAUUUAGUUUUUUGGGGCACCUAUACUGGGCUAACAUUUAGAGAGCUCAUAUUGUUCAUGCAAAUUAUAUUAUCAUUGUCGUCGAAUGCUAAUAUUGAUCAUGAUAUGGGCUGCUUCCAUAGUAGUAUUUGGAGUAUGGAUUCAAGAACUAAGGCCGGUGGUAUUGAGUUAGGUGCUGAAUUUGCCCUUGUCCGUAGAGAUCAACCUAUUCUUGAUAAUCAGGAUUUGGUAAGGGAAGUUUCUGAUUGCAAGACAAUUGGUGAGGCUUUCUCUUCAGCAUACUUAAUUGCCUGGCCUUCAACUUUUGAAAGUUAAAAUAUUCUCUUCCACAUUCGGAAAUCAUAUUUCCACAUUCUGAAAUCAUAUUUGUGUACAUUUAAUCACAUAUAUCUAAGGUGCAAUUUUUCCUUUACAGAUUCAAGAGAAGUAAUUGAGUUGCAGCUGAAUUCUUGGAUCAAGAAGCAAAUAAAAUUUGAAGAUUUUAGCUACCAAUAGUCGUAGUUUACAUACAUAGAAUGAAAUAUGUAAUAUCAUCCACAAGAUCUUUUUCUUUCCUCUAACUGAUGCAAAUGCUAUGGUGUAAUAUUCUCCAUAGUUGUGUU